AUAUAUCUUUUAUUUAUUGAAUGAAUAAAUUUUUCCUGAUAUUAUUAUCAGUGUUUGUCCAAAAAAAAAUUAAUCAACUUAUGUAUUUUAAAUGUUUCCUUAAAUCUGUAUUGAUCAUCCAUUUUAAUCCAAAGGUUAAGAUCAGCCACACAGAACAUUAGUUUCAUUUCAUUUGCCACGUAUAUAAUAAAAAUUUAAUUUUUAAGUCACCUUAAUUUCUCUCUUUCCAAAUUAUUUAUUGAAAAAUGGUAUACAUCGAUACAUGUUAAUAAAUAUUUGACGAAAUUAAAUUACAACUAACAUAAAAGUGUAUGUUAUUCCCACCGCGCCACCAACUCCGCCACCGCUGCUGCUACUGCCCACUAUGUGUCAACACCGGCGGAGGCAUUAGUAGUAGUCGACGUGAAGUGGUGAUAGUUGUUUCCGGGAACGCCUAGUUCUUUUCUCCUGGCUUUCGAACCAGUGUCCAACAGCAACACGUCCAUAAUAAUGCAACGGAUUGGCAGAAAGUGUGCCAAAAACUAUGAGCACAAUAAUUGUAACUGCAUCCAUAUAACUUACUACUAAUUAAUUAAUUUCUUUAUUUGUUGGAUUCUUAGCUAUAAUUACUUUGUUAAUUGGGCACCUGGUCUGGUCUGAACUUUAUAUAGAGAGAGAACAUCAGAUUGUCCGCGUUAAGUAAACGAGUCAACUGACCAAUUAAGCAAUACAAUUCUCAUCUUACGUAUGGAAAACAUGAAAAAUAG
Molecule: long non-coding RNA, 746 nt
Filed under: Panax ginseng (ginseng)
Lineage: Eukaryota; Viridiplantae; Streptophyta; Magnoliopsida; Apiales; Araliaceae
Description: long non-coding RNA (PGIN_LNC019225)
Source: RNAcentral